AUUGAACGCUGGCGGCGUGCUUAACACAUGCAAGUCGAUCGGUAACAGGUGUAGCAAUACAUGCUGACGAGAGGCGGACGGGUGAGUAAUGCUUGGGAAUCUGCCUAUUAGUGGGGGACGAACCCGGGAAACGUACGGGCGUAAUACCGCAUACGCUCUACGGAGGAAAGCCGGGGACCGCAAGGCCUGGCGCUAAUAGAUGAGCCCAA
Molecule: ribosomal RNA, 209 nt
Filed under: uncultured bacterium
Lineage: Bacteria
Description: partial 16S ribosomal RNA
Rfam family: Bacterial small subunit ribosomal RNA
Source: RNAcentral